Molecule: ribosomal RNA, 473 nt
Filed under: uncultured bacterium
Lineage: Bacteria
Description: partial 16S ribosomal RNA
Rfam family: Bacterial small subunit ribosomal RNA
Source: RNAcentral
GACGAACGCUGGCGGCGUGCUUAACACAUGCAAGUCGAGCGGUAAGGCCCUUCGGGGUACACGAGCGGCGAACGGGUGAGUAACACGUGGGUGACCUGCCCUCAGCUCUGGGAUAAGCCUGGGAAACUGGGUCUAAUACCGGAUAUGACCACAUGUUGCAUGGUGUGUGGUAGAAAGUUUUUCGGCUGGGGAUGGGCCCGCGGCCUAUCAGCUUGUUGGUGGGGUGAUGGCCUACCAAGGCGACGACGGGUAGCCGGCCUGAGAGGGCGACCGGCCACACUGGGACUGAGACACGGCCCAGACUCCUACGGGAGGCAGCAGUGGGGAAUAUUGCGCAAUGGGCGGAAGCCUGACGCAGCGACGCCGCGUGGGGGAUGACGGCCUUCGGGUUGUAAACCUCUUUCGACCCCGACGAAUUUGGACGGUAGGGGUAGAAGAAGCACCGGCCAACUACGUGCCAGCAGCCGCAGUAA